RNAcentral lists this ribosomal RNA (468 nucleotides) under uncultured Sphingobacteriales bacterium. RNAcentral describes it as "bacterial SSU rRNA". It matches the Rfam family "Bacterial small subunit ribosomal RNA", at positions 916 to 1381 of the family's 1533-position model. The record is from RNAcentral. Lineage: Bacteria; Pseudomonadati; Bacteroidota; Sphingobacteriia; Sphingobacteriales.
GACGGGGCCCGCACAAGCGGAGGAGCAUGUGGUUUAAUUCGAUGAUACGCGAGGAACCUUACCUGGGCUCGAACGUAAGAUGACUGUAGGUGAAAGCUUACAUCUCUUCGGAGCAUUUUACGAGGUGCUGCAUGGUUGUCGUCAGCUCGUGCCGUGAGGUGUCGGGUUAAGUCCCAUAACGAGCGCAACCCUACCUUUAGUUGCCAUCAGGUUAAGCUGGGGACUCUAAAGGAACUGCCUACGCAAGUAGUGAGGAAGGCGGGGAUGACGUCAAAUCAGCACGGCCCUUACGUCCAGGGCUACACACGUGCUACAAUGGCCGAUACAGAGGGCAGCUACCUGGUGACAGGAUGCAAAUCUCCAAAGUCGGUCUCAGUUCGGAUCGGAGUCUGCAACCCGACUCCGUGAAGUUGGAUUCGCUAGUAAUCGCGCAUCAGCCAUGGCGCGGUGAAUACGCUCCCGGGCCUU